Molecule: ribosomal RNA, 990 nt
Filed under: uncultured bacterium
Lineage: Bacteria
Description: bacterial SSU rRNA
Rfam family: Bacterial small subunit ribosomal RNA
Source: RNAcentral
AUGCUGAGCUUGCUUAGCGGAUUAGUGGCGAACGGGUGAGUAACACGUGAGUAACCUGCCCUUGACUCUGGGAUAAGCGUUGGAAACGACGUCUAAUACCGGAUAUGACCUUCGGAGGCAUCUCCUGGGGGUGGAAAGAUUUUUUGGUCAAGGAUGGACUCGCGGCCUAUCAGGUUGUUGGUGAGGUAAUGGCUCACCAAGCCUACGACGGGUAGCCGGCCUGAGAGGGUGACCGGCCACACUGGGACUGAGACACGGCCCAGACUCCUACGGGAGGCAGCAGUGGGGAAUAUUGCACAAUGGGCGAAAGCCUGAUGCAGCAACGCCGCGUGAGGGAUGACGGCCUUCGGGUUGUAAACCUCUUUUAGUAAGGAAGAAGAACUUCGGUUUGACGGUACUUGCAGAAAAAGCACCGGCUAACUACGUGCCAGCAGCCGCGGUAAUACGUAGGGUGCAAGCGUUGUCCGGAAUUAUUGGGCGUAAAGAGCUCGUAGGCGGUUUGUCGCGUCUGCUGUGAAAACUGGAGGCUCAACCUCCAGCCUGCAGUGGGUACGGGCAGACUAGAGUGCGGUAGGGGAGAUUGGAAUUCCUGGUGUAGCGGUGGAAUGCGCAGAUAUCAGGAGGAACACCGAUGGCGAAGGCAGAUCUCUGGGCCGUAACUGACGCUGAGGAGCGAAAGCAUGGGGAGCGAACAGGAUUAGAUACCCUGGUAGUCCAUGCCGUAAACGUUGGGAACUAGAUGUAGGGGCCAUUCCACGGUUUCUGUGUCGCAGCUAACGCAUUAAGUUCCCCGCCUGGGGGAGUACGGCCGCAAGGCUAAAACUCAAAGGAAUUGACGGGGGCCCGCACAAGCGGCGGAGCAUGCGGAUUAAUUCGAUGCAACGCGAAGAACCUUACCAAGGCUUGACAUAUACCGGAAAGCCACAGAAAUGUGGGCCCCGCAAGGUCGGUAUACAGGUGGUGCAUGGUUGUCGUCAGCUCGUGUCGUGA